This 254-nucleotide ribosomal RNA is filed under the name uncultured bacterium. RNAcentral describes it as "partial 16S ribosomal RNA". It matches the Rfam family "Bacterial small subunit ribosomal RNA", at positions 74 to 334 of the family's 1533-position model. The record is from RNAcentral.
CAAACCAAAGCUGGCGACCGGCGCACGGGUGAGUAAUACGUAUCCAACCUGCCUCAUACUCGGGGAUAGCCUUUCGAAAGAAAGAUUAAUAUCCGAUAGCAUAUAUUUCCCGCAUGGGUUUUAUAUUAAAGAAAUUCGGUAUGAGAUGGGGAUGCGUUCCAUUAGUUUGUUGGGGGGUAACGGCCCACCAAGACUACGAUGGAUAGGGGUUCUGAGAGGAAGGUCCCCCACAUUGGAACUGAGACACGGUCCAA